GAUGAACGCUGGCGGCGUGCCUAAUACAUGCAAGUCGAGCGAACAGACGAGGAGCUUGCUCCUUUGACGUUAGCGGCGGACGGGUGAGUAACACGUAGGUAACCUACCUAUAAGACUGGGAUAACUUCGGGAAAACGGAGCUAAUACCGGAUAAUAUUUCGAACCGCAUGGUUCGAUAGUGAAAGAUGGCUUUGCUAUUACUUAUAGAUGGACCUGCGCCGUAUUAGCUAGUUGGUAAGGUAACGGCUUACCAAGGCAACGAUACGUAGCCGACCUGAGAGGGUGAUCGGCCACACUGGAACUGAGACACGGUCCAGACUCCUACGGGAGGCAGCAGUAGGGAAUCUUCCGCAAUGGGCGAAAGCCUGACGGAGCAACGCCGCGUGAGUGAUGAAGGUCUUCGGAUCGUAAAACUCUGUUAUUAGGGAAGAACAAACGUGUAAGUAACUGUGCACGUCUUGACGGUACCUAAUCAGAAAGCCACGGCUAACUACGUG
This 497-nucleotide ribosomal RNA is filed under the name uncultured bacterium. RNAcentral describes it as "partial 16S ribosomal RNA". It matches the Rfam family "Bacterial small subunit ribosomal RNA", at positions 28 to 507 of the family's 1533-position model. The record is from RNAcentral.